Molecule: ribosomal RNA, 273 nt
Filed under: uncultured bacterium
Lineage: Bacteria
Description: partial 16S ribosomal RNA
Rfam family: Bacterial small subunit ribosomal RNA
Source: RNAcentral
UACGUAGGGUCCGAGCGUUGUCCGGAGUUACUGGGCGUAAAGGGCGCGCAGGCGGCGGUGCUGGCCCGGCGUGAAAGCCCCCGGCUCAACCGGGGAAGGUCGUCGGGGACCGCACCGCUUGAGGGCGGCAGGGGCUGGUGGAAUGCCUGGUGUAGUGGUGAAAUGCGUAGAGAUCAGGCGGAACACCCGUGGCGAAGGCGGCCAGCUGGGCCGGCCCUGACGCUGAGGCGCGAAGGCGUGGGGAGCGAACGGGAUUAGAUACCCCCGUAGUCC